UUUCAUGCAUCUUGGCAUCAUGUUCUCCUCCACCAGUCUUACACACUGCUUUUGGAUAACUUUAUGCUGCUUUACUCCUGGUGCAAAAAUUCAAGCAGUUCAGUUUGGUGGUUUGAUGGUUUGUGAUCAUCCAUCUUCCUCUUGAUUAUAUUCCAGAGGUUUUUAAUUUGGUAAAAUCAAAGAAACUCAUCAUUUUUAAGUACUCUCUUAUUUUUUUUCCAGAGCUAAUACUAGACAAUUGGAUCUGGUUCAUAGCUGUUGAGUGCGAAGUCUACUCAAGGCCAUGGAAAAUAUAUAUUUGAUUUUUUCUGUAUGAACUAUAAACUGGGAUUCCCUAUGAAUUUCAAGUGCAAAAAGCUGAAAAUACUUCGUUCAUUAUCCAGAUAAUUCAUGUGAAGGACUUACACGUGUAUAAUUUUGUAUAAGGGACAUGGAUUUUUCUUAAAAAUAAGGGUUGUUUUGAAAAACUUGGUUACAUAAAGUGUGUGGAAGUUGUUGUUGUCCAUGGAAUGAGUGGUGCAUUGAAUAUUUGUGAGGGUUUACAUUAAUUUUGGGUUGAAAAAGGGCAUUUACUGUAAAUGAACUUUUGAAGAGAUUGCUUGGUGAAAGCUGAUGUGAAUCUAACAGGCUUUCACAUGCUGCUUCUACUCCACAAAUUCAUGUUAUUGUCAUUUAGAGCUUUUAUUUA
Long non-coding RNA from Astyanax mexicanus (Mexican tetra), 688 nucleotides. RefSeq lists it as uncharacterized. The record is from RefSeq and is a predicted model, not a curated record. The transcript has 2 exons. Lineage: Eukaryota; Metazoa; Chordata; Actinopteri; Characiformes; Acestrorhamphidae.